AUGUACUAUUUGGGUUCUGGUGGACCGCUGCCUGUUCAGGGGUUCAGGGCAACCUUUGGCUCACUUCAUUUGAGAAUCCCCGUCCACCACCGGCGCACUUGCCACCGGAAUUCCCCACCGCCGCCGCUGCCCCGCCGUCGCGGCGUCAUGCUCCACCUCCGGAACCGCAUACUCCCCCACCUCCUCUCAGCCACGCCCUCUCCUUCUACAUCCCCACUCCUCUCUCUCGACCGCCUCCUCUCCGCCGUUUCCCCGAACCCUAGCUUCGCCGUCGGCGACUACCUCGUCGACACCUGCGGCCUCACCCGUGCCCAGGCACUCAAGGUCUCCGCCACGCUCUCCCACCUCAAGUCCCCCGCCAAGCCCGACGCGGUCCUCGCCUUCCUCGCCGGCCUCGGCCUCUCCGGCGCUGAUGUCGCGGCCGUCGUCGCCAGGGACCCGAAGAUCCUCUGCGCCGCCGUGGAGAAAACGCUGUCCCCCGUCCUCGCUGGGCUCACCGGCCUCGGCCUGUCACAAGCUGAGAUUGCGCGCCUCGUCUCGUUCGCCCCCGCCCACUUCCGCCUCAGAUCCGUCGUCUCCAAGAUAGAGUACUACCUGCCGCUCUGCGGCUCCAUCGAAAACCUGCUCCAGCCGCUCAAGCAAGGCUCCUCCAUCCUCGGCUCUGACCUCGAGAGGGUGGUCAAGCCCAAUGUCAAUCUCCUAGCAGAGUGCGGGCUGGGUGCUUGUGAUAUUGCCAAGCUCUUCAUCCGUGUGCCGAGGAUACUUUAUGCCAAACCAGCGCGUGUCCUGGAGAUGGUUGCGUGCGCCGAAGGUAUAGGUGUGCCCCGUGGCUCCGGAAUGUUCAGGCGCGCUCUGCAGUCUGUUGCAUUCCUCAGCAAGGAGAAGAUCGCCACCAGAAUGGACUACUUGAAGAAGACGGUUAGGUGGUCGGAUGCGGAGGUUGGCAUUGCUGUGUCCAAGGGUCCAUCUGUGCUCGUGACGUCAAAGGACAUGCUGAAGCGCAGGUCUGAAUUCCUUAUCUCUGAGGUGGGGUUGGAGCCGGCGUACAUUGCCCGCCGCCCAUCAUUGCUCAAUUAUAGCUUGGAGGGCCGGCUCAGGCCCCGGUACUAUGUUAUGAAGUUUCUUACGGAAAACAGAUUGCUCAAGCGUGCCAUGUGCUACUAUACAUUUGUCAAGGCCACCGAGAUGGAAUUCUUGGACAAGUUCAUAUGCCCUUACAAGGAAGCUGCACCACACCUUGCUGAAGACUAUGCAGCUGCUUGCAAAGGGGAAGUGCCAACUAGAUUCAGGUUUACAUGA
This 1299-nucleotide ribosomal RNA is filed under the name Triticum aestivum (bread wheat). Its description in RNAcentral is "partial small subunit ribosomal RNA". Lineage: Eukaryota; Viridiplantae; Streptophyta; Magnoliopsida; Poales; Poaceae. The record is from RNAcentral.